GAUGAACGCUGGCGGCGUGCCUAAUACAUGCAAGUCGAGCGAACAGACGAGGAGCUUGCUCCUCUGACGUUAGCGGCGGACGGGUGAGUAACACGUGGAUAACCUACCUAUAAGACUGGGAUAACUUCGGGAAACCGGAGCUAAUACCGGAUAAUAUAUUGAACCGCAUGGUUCAAUAGUGAAAGACGGUUUUGCUGUCACUUAUAGAUGGAUCCGCGCCGCAUUAGCUAGUUGGUAAGGUAACGGCUUACCAAGGCAACGAUGCGUAGCCGACCUGAGAGGGUGAUCGGCCACACUGGAACUGAGACACGGUCCAGACUCCUACGGGAGGCAGCAGUAGGGAAUCUGCCGCAAUGGGCGAAAGCCUGACGGAGCAACGCCGCGUGAGUGAUGAAGGUCUUCGGAUCGUAAAACUCUGUUAUUAGGGAAGAACAAAUGUGUAAGUAACUAUGCACGUCUUGACGGUACCUGAUCAGAAAGCCACGGCUAACUACGUG
Molecule: ribosomal RNA, 497 nt
Filed under: uncultured bacterium
Lineage: Bacteria
Description: partial 16S ribosomal RNA
Rfam family: Bacterial small subunit ribosomal RNA
Source: RNAcentral